RNAcentral lists this ribosomal RNA (450 nucleotides) under uncultured Glomeromycotina. RNAcentral describes it as "SSU rRNA". It matches the Rfam family "Eukaryotic small subunit ribosomal RNA", at positions 569 to 1022 of the family's 1831-position model. Lineage: Eukaryota; Fungi; Glomeromycota. The record is from RNAcentral.
AGCAGCCGCGGUAAUUCCAGCUCCAAUAGCGUAUAUUAAAGUUGUUGCAGUUAAAAAGCUCGUAGUUGAAUUUCGGGGUCAGUAGGCUGGUCGUGCCACGGGUAUGUACUGGUCUUACUGAUUCCUCCUUCCUGAUGAACCGUAAUGCCAUUAAUUUGGUGUUGCGGGGAAUCUGGACUGUUACUUUGAAAAAAUUAGAGUGUUUAAAGCAGGCUAACGCUUGAAUACAUUAGCAUGGAAUAAUGAAAUAGGACGAUCGAUCCUAUUUUGUUGGUUUCUAGGAUUGACGUAAUGAUUAAUAGGGAUAGUUGGGGGCAUUAGUAUUCAAUUGUCAGAGGUGAAAAUUCUUGGAUUUAUUGAAGACUAACUACUGCGAAAGCAUUUGCCAAGGAUGUUUUCAUUAAUCAAGAACGAAAGUUAGGGAUACGGAGACGAUCAGAUACCGUCGUA